Molecule: unclassified non-coding RNA, 167 nt
Filed under: uncultured fungus
Lineage: Eukaryota; Fungi
Description: sequence contains ITS1, 5.8S rRNA gene
Source: RNAcentral
CAGAGUUCAUGCCCUUACGGGUAGAUCUCCCACCCUAUGUUAUUAUUACUUUGUUGCUUUGGCGGGCCGUCAGGCCUCGGUCAGGCUACCGGCUCUAGCUGGUAAGCGCCCGCCAGAGGACCCCAAACUCUGAAUAUUAGUGUCGUCUGAGUACUAUAUAAUAGUUA